RNAcentral lists this unclassified non-coding RNA (348 nucleotides) under soil metagenome. RNAcentral's name for it is "partial contains 5.8S ribosomal RNA, internal transcribed spacer 2, and large subunit ribosomal RNA". The stretch from base 1 to 120 matches the Rfam family "5.8S ribosomal RNA", at positions 35 to 154 of the family's 154-position model. The record is from RNAcentral.
GAUGAAGAACGCAGCGAAAUGCGAUAAGUAAUGUGAAUUGCAGAAUUCAGUGAAUCAUCGAAUCUUUGAACGCACAUUGCGCCCGCCAGUAUUCUGGCGGGCAUGCCUGUCUGAGCGUCAUUUCAACCCUCAUGCCCCUAGGGCGUGGUGUUGGGGAUCGGCCAAAGCCCGCGAGGGACGGCCGGCCCCUAAAUCUAGUGGCGGACCCGUCGUGGCCUCCUCUGCGAAGUAGUGAUAUUCCGCAUCGGAGAGCGAUGAGCCCCUGCCGUUAAACCCCCAGCUUUCCAAGGUUGACCUCAGAUCAGGUAGGAAUACCCGCUGAACUUAAGCAUAUCAAUAAGCGGAGGA